AAUAUAUGACGCCGUUAACUUUUUUAACCAAUGUUUGACCAUUCGUCUUAUUCAAAAAAUUUAUGUAAUUAUUAUUUAUUUUAUUGUGAUUUGAUUUAUCAUUAAAUGCUUUUUAAGCGUGUAUGAAUAUUUUUAUAUUUGCACAUAAAUUUUAAAUAAGAUGAAUGAUUAAAUAUUGGUAAAAAAAUCAACGGCGUCAUACAUU
Molecule: non-coding RNA, 205 nt
Organism: Oryza nivara
Lineage: Eukaryota; Viridiplantae; Streptophyta; Magnoliopsida; Poales; Poaceae
Source: Rfam